UACGGAGGGUGCGAGCGUUGUUCGGAAUCACUGGGCGUAAAGCGCGUGUAGGCGGCCCACUAAGUCUGAUGUGAAAGCCCGGGGCUCACCCCCGGAAGUGCAUUGGAAACUGGUGGACUCGAGUCCCGGAAAGGAGAGUGGAAUUCCUGGUGUAGCGGUGAAAUGCGUAGAUAUCAGGAGGAACACCGGUGGCGAAGGCGGCUCUCUGGACGGUGACUGACGCUGAGACGCGAAAGCGUGGGGAGCAAACAGG
Molecule: ribosomal RNA, 253 nt
Filed under: uncultured bacterium
Lineage: Bacteria
Description: partial 16S ribosomal RNA
Rfam family: Bacterial small subunit ribosomal RNA
Source: RNAcentral